GCAGGGAGUGAGAGCAAAAUGAGAGGCCGAGGUAUAUAAACUGUUCGCGUAAUACCACGGAGAGCCUGAUGUAUAGUAAUGGGUCCAGGAUCGUAAACGUCUCUCUUGGCACUCUCACCACUGUCAGAUUAUUACUGUGUUCUCAGAUUCAGCUGAAUGUGUUCAAGGAUCUUCUUUGGUCUGAAAGGUCUUGAAAUAUAUGGCCUAUAAAAUCAUUCUCUUUGGGAAAGAAUUGCAGACAAGUCAUCAUCCUUUGAGGAUAAGUUCGAUUAAAAGGGUUACUGAAUUUCUUCUGUGGUGUAUUUCAUAAAAGAGAAGAUGCUGAUAAGAUCCCGUUUAAAUGGCUUGCUAAUACCAGAAGCAGAUCAUUUAAAAUGGACCUUACAUCUUUAUAGGAUGUUAGAAAUGAAGACAUUACCUCAAAAUGUAGGUCCAUUUAUGAACUAUAAGAAGGAUUCAGUAUGUGUCAUCAUUUUCAUAAAAGGAAGGAAAUCAGCAAAGUAGCCCAACUCUCUGGGGAAGAUGCAAUGUCAACAAUUAGGAAGAAUGUAAUUUAUCUUGUGCCAAAGAGGUCCAACAGUGAAUCCCAAUCAGACAAAUACCACUAAAAUGAUGACAAACACAAAAAAAUCAUCAACCUGUAAGGCAAAAGAGGAUGGGUGGAACUGAGGAGGACAGAUAAUAAAUAGCAGGUAAAUGGAGAUCAAUAUGAUAUUUUAAAAUAUAGGUAAAAUGGACAAGUGGCAACUCACUAAGCAAACUAGAAAAAUCUGAAAUUUUAGUUCACAUUUUGUGGAGGAAAUCAAUCAAGAAAUCAUCCUAUUUAUCUCACAGAAACUAGGGAUUGACAAUAAUGGGUAUAUUGGAAUAUGGGCUAUAGUGG
RNAcentral lists this long non-coding RNA (883 nucleotides) under Canis lupus familiaris (dog). RNAcentral's name for it is "lncRNA (ENSCAFG00845015911.1)". The record is from RNAcentral. Lineage: Eukaryota; Metazoa; Chordata; Mammalia; Carnivora; Canidae.